UGACGUUAGUACUUGGAAUGAGAGCGUGACUCACGGGGCAUAACUGCUGCCUGUACAUUGUUUACAAUCCAGCAAGCAAGGGACACCGAAUAGCAGCUCCGGCAGCCUGUGCUGGCGGCCUGCAGAGAAUUCCAGGUGACGCUCCAGAGGGGCUAGGAGAGGAUACCCUUCUGAUGACAGCCAUGGCUCGCCCGGCAUCACCCCACUCAAGAGGCCAGACGGGGUCCCAGCUGAGGUGACACAGCUCCUUUCCCAGUCGGGAAGGGGCGUCUGCAGGGAGCAGGAAGGGCUUAGCUUGGGGCUGCCCGCUCCGGCACCGACCUGGGACGCGCCCUGAGGCCCCUGCCUGGGACCGUCCCGGACUACAUUUCCCAGAGACCAUCCAGGAGUACGCCGUGCUGCAUGCUGGGACACGGGGCUUGGGGCUCUGGUUUCCCCCGACGGUCCCGCGUCCUCUUCUAGCCUCACCCCCUCCCGAGGCCCCAGCGUUGGGGGACUACCGGGCCAGCAUCCUUCAGAAAAAGCAUCCCCGAGGAGGAAGACGAAUCGUUAAACAUCUUAAAGGGUCAGGCCAGCAU
This 578-nucleotide small RNA is filed under the name Pan troglodytes (chimpanzee). RNAcentral's name for it is "processed transcript". Lineage: Eukaryota; Metazoa; Chordata; Mammalia; Primates; Hominidae. The record is from RNAcentral.